AAAUCAUGGUGAGAACACCUCCGUAAAAGAUCCUUAUACCUUUCUCAUGCUUCAUAUAAUGACUUCAUGUCUUGUUGGUAGAAAUUGGUAAUCUCACUUCUCAGCUU
Molecule: small nucleolar RNA, 107 nt
Organism: Pistacia vera
Lineage: Eukaryota; Viridiplantae; Streptophyta; Magnoliopsida; Sapindales; Anacardiaceae
Source: RefSeq, a predicted model, not a curated record